This 491-nucleotide ribosomal RNA is filed under the name uncultured bacterium. RNAcentral's name for it is "bacterial SSU rRNA". It matches the Rfam family "Bacterial small subunit ribosomal RNA", at positions 28 to 507 of the family's 1533-position model. The record is from RNAcentral.
GAUGAACGCUAGCUACAGGCUUAACACAUGCAAGUCGAGGGGAACGACAUCGAAAGCUUGCUUUUGAUGGGUGUCGACCGGCGCACGGGUGAGUAACGCGUAUCCAACCUGCCCAUCACUUGGGAAUAACCUUGCGAAAGUAAGACUAAUACCCAAUGAUAUCCCACGAAGGCAUCCGAAUGGGAUUAAAGAUUUAUCGGUGAUGGAUGGGGAUGCGUCUGAUUAGCUUGUUGGCGGGGUAACGGCCCACCAAGGCUACGAUCAGUAGGGGUUCUGAGAGGAAGGUCCCCCCANAUUGGAACUGAGACACGGUCCAAACUCCUACGGGAGGCAGCAGUGAGGAAUAUUGGUCAAUGGGCGAGAGCCUGAACCAGCCAAGUAGCGUGCAGGACGACGGCCCUAUGGGUUGUAAACUGCUUUUAUACGGGAAUAAAGUGGGCCACGCGUGGUCUUUUGCAUGUACCGAUGAAUAAGGACCGGCUAAUUCCGUG